UUAACUGAAACCAAAAUAGAGGUAUAUUACUGUUAAUAAUAAAAUUGAAUAAAAUUUCCAGUUAAG
Molecule: transfer RNA, 66 nt
Filed under: Melanozosteria sp. Cairns, Australia
Lineage: Eukaryota; Metazoa; Arthropoda; Insecta; Blattodea; Blattidae
Description: tRNA-Asn
Source: RNAcentral